RNAcentral lists this ribosomal RNA (729 nucleotides) under uncultured eukaryote. RNAcentral describes it as "SSU rRNA". It matches the Rfam family "Eukaryotic small subunit ribosomal RNA", at positions 670 to 1426 of the family's 1831-position model. The record is from RNAcentral.
CGGGUGCACUGAUCCAGCCGGGCCUUUCCCUCUGUGGAACCCCAUGGCCUUCACUGGCUGUGGUGGGGAAACAGGACUUUUACUUUGAAAAAAUUAGAGUGCUCCAGGCAGGCCUAUGCUCGAAUACAUUAGCAUGGAAUAAUAGAAUAGGACGUGUGGUUCUAUUUUGUUGGUUUCUAGGACCGCCGUAAUGAUUAAUAGGGACAGUCGGGGGCAUCAGUAUUCAAUUGUCAGAGGUGAAAUUCUUGGAUCUAUUGAAGACUAACUACUGCGAAAGCAUUUGCCAAGGAUGUUUUCAUUGAUAAGGAACGAAGGUUAGGGGAUCGAAGACGAUCAGAUACCGUCGUAGUCUUAACUAUAAACUAUGCCGACUAGGGAUCGGACGAUGUUAUUCUUUGACGCGUUCGGCACCUUUCGAGAAAUCAAAGUGCUUGGGCUCCAGGGGGAGUAUGGUCGCAAGGCUGAAACUUAAAGAAAUUGACGGAAGGGCACCACCAGGGGUGGAACCUGCGGCUUAAUUUGACUCAACACGGGGAAACUCACCAGGUCCAGACACAGUGAGGAUUGACAGAUUGAGAGCUCUUUCUUGAUUCUGUGGGUGGUGGUGCAUGGCCGUUCUUAGUUGGUGGAGUGAUUUGUCUGCUUAAUUGCGAUAACGAACGAGACCUUAACCUGCUAAAUAGCCCGUACUGCUUUGGCAGUUCGCCGGCUUCUUAGAGGGACUAUCGG